GGGUGAGUAAUGUCUGGGAAACUGCCUGAUGGAGGGGGAUAACUACUGAAACGGUAGCUAAUACCGCAUAACGUCGCAAGACCAAAGAGGGGGACCCUCGGGCCUCUUGCCAUCGGAUGUGCCAGAUGGGAUUAGCUUGUUGUGGGGUAACGGCUCACCAAGGCGACGAUCCCUAGCUGGUCUGAGAGGAUGACCAGCCACACUGGAACUGAGACACGGUCCAG
Molecule: ribosomal RNA, 224 nt
Filed under: uncultured Enterobacterales bacterium
Lineage: Bacteria; Pseudomonadati; Pseudomonadota; Gammaproteobacteria; Enterobacterales
Description: partial 16S ribosomal RNA
Rfam family: Bacterial small subunit ribosomal RNA
Source: RNAcentral